Carlito syrichta (Philippine tarsier) is the source of this 568-nucleotide long non-coding RNA. RefSeq lists it as uncharacterized. The record is from RefSeq and is a predicted model, not a curated record. Lineage: Eukaryota; Metazoa; Chordata; Mammalia; Primates; Tarsiidae. The transcript is spliced from 2 exons.
AGAACCGACACCCUCUUACACCAAUUCUCCAAACCCUGGCCACUUUAAAGACUCAGUCUGAUUGCUGGUUAUGGUAACAUCUAGAGCAUGCAAAAGAACCUGAACUAGUUUUUAUUUCUGUCAAUACCAGCACUUGGUGGAUCAGCUACAGAAAAUAAGUGUAUGCCUGGGUAUGGCAGCCACAAUCGAGAAAACAACAUCAUUCUACUUCUCCCUUUGGUGAAUUGAUUGAAUGUGAAAAAAACUCUGUGAAAGCUCAAGGACUGUCCUUCGCUCAGAUUUCUUGCCCCUAACCUGGUUUUUUUCUCCAUACUCAUCAACUCAGCCUUUAACAUAUGAAGCUGCUAGGGAAAUCUCCAACAGGGGAAAUGAAGGCUUUACGGACAAAGGUUUUACUUCCCCAAAAUUUACUGCCUAGAACGCCAACCCCUUUGUCUUAUCAUUUUUCCACAAAUGUAUCAUUUCUUUGUCUAAGAUGUAUAAAAUCUUUCUGCUCUGGGACUUCCGUCUCUUGUGAAGGUCCCUAUGUUCACUAAACAUGAAAUAAAGCCUGUAUGCUUUCCCCUUC